AAUAUUGCACAAUGGGCGCAAGCCUGAUGCAGCCAUGCCGCGUGUUUGAAGAAGGCCUUUGGGUUGUAAAGUACUUUUAGCGAGGAGGAAGGCGUUGUGGUUAAUAACCGCAGCGAUUGACGUUACUUGCUGAAGAAGCACCUGCUAACUCCGUGCCAGCAGCCGCGGUAAUACGGAGGGUGCAAGCGUUAAUCGGAAUUACUGGGCGUAAAGCGCACGCAGGCGGUCUGUCAAGUCGGAUGUGAAAUCCCCGGGCUCAACCUGGGAACUGCAUCCGAAACUGGCAGGCUAGAGUCUUGUAGAGGGGGGUAGAAUUCCAGGUGUAGCGGUGAAAUGCGUAGAGAUCUGGAGGAAUACCGGUGGCGAAGGCGGCCCCCUGGACAAAGACUGACGCUCAGGUGCGAAAGCGUGGGGAGCAAAC
Molecule: ribosomal RNA, 421 nt
Filed under: uncultured bacterium
Lineage: Bacteria
Description: bacterial SSU rRNA
Rfam family: Bacterial small subunit ribosomal RNA
Source: RNAcentral